This 253-nucleotide ribosomal RNA is filed under the name uncultured bacterium. Its description in RNAcentral is "partial 16S ribosomal RNA". It matches the Rfam family "Bacterial small subunit ribosomal RNA", at positions 524 to 776 of the family's 1533-position model. The record is from RNAcentral.
UACGUAGGUGGCAAGCGUUGUCCGGAAUUAUUGGGCGUAAAGCGCGCGCAGGUGGUUCCUUAAGUCUGAUGUGAAAGCCCCCGGCUCAACCGGGGAGGGUCAUUGGAAACUGGGGAACUUGAGUGCAGAAGAGAAGAGCGGAAUUCCACGUGUAGCGGUGAAAUGCGUAGAGAUGUGGAGGAACACCAGUGGCGAAGGCGGCUCUUUGGUCUGUAACUGACGCUGAGGCGCGAAAGCGUGGGGAGCAAACAGG